UAAUACAGAGGGUGCGAGCGUUGUUCGGAAUUACUGGGCGUAAAGCGUUUGUAGGCGGUGCUGAGAGUCCUAGGUGAAAUCCCCGAGCUCAACUCGGGAACUGCCUAGGAGACCUCAGUACUAGAGUACUGAAGGGGUUACUGGAAUUCCAUGUGUAGCGGUGAAAUGCGUAGAUAUAUGGAGGAACACCUGUGGCGAAGGCGGGUAACUGGUCAGAGACUGACGCUGAGAAACGAAAGCGUGGGGAGCAAACAGG
This 256-nucleotide ribosomal RNA is filed under the name uncultured bacterium. RNAcentral's name for it is "partial 16S ribosomal RNA". It matches the Rfam family "Bacterial small subunit ribosomal RNA", at positions 521 to 776 of the family's 1533-position model. The record is from RNAcentral.